AGUGAACGCUGGCGGCAGGCCUAAUACAUGCAAGUCGAACGGCAGCACGGCAGAGCUUGCUCUGUGGGUGGCGAGUGGCGGACGGGUGAGGAAUACAUGGGAAUCUGCCCAGUCGUGGGGGAUAACGUAGGGAAACUUACGCUAAUACCGCAUGCGCCCUUCGGGGGAAAGCCGGGGACCUUCGGGCCUGGCGCGAUUGGAUGAGCCCAUGUCGGAUUAGCUAGUUGGCGGGGUAAUGGCCCACCAAGGCGACGAUCCGUAGCUGGUCUGAGAGGAUGAUCAGCCACACUGGAACUGAGACACGGUCCAGACUCCUACGGGAGCAGCAGUAGGGAAUAUUGGACAAUGGGCGCAAGCCUGAUCCAGCCAUGCCGCGUGAGUGAAGAACGGCCCG
Molecule: ribosomal RNA, 394 nt
Filed under: uncultured bacterium
Lineage: Bacteria
Description: bacterial SSU rRNA
Rfam family: Bacterial small subunit ribosomal RNA
Source: RNAcentral